GAUGAACGCUGGCGGCGUGCCUAAUACAUGCAAGUCGAGCGAACAGACGAGGAGCUUGCUCCUCUGACGUUAGCGGCGGACGGGUGAGUAAUACGUGGAUAACCUACCUAUAAGACUGGGAUAACUUCGGGAAACCGGAGCUAAUACCGGAUAAUAUAUUGAACCGCAUGGUUCAAUAGUGAAAGACGGUUUUGCUGUCACUUAUAGAUGGAUCCGCGCCGCAUUAGCUAGUUGGUAAGGUAACGGCUUACCAAGGCGACGAUGCGUAGCCGACCUGAGAGGGUGAUCGGCCACACUGGAACUGAGACACGGUCCAGACUCCUACGGGAGGCAGCAGUAGGGAAUCUUCCGCAAAGGGCGAAAGCCUGACGGAGCAACGCCGCGUGAGUGAUGAAGGUCUUCGGAUCGUAAAACUCUGUUAUUAGGGAAGAACAAAUGUGUAAGUAACUAUGCACGUCUUGACGGUACCUAAUCAGAAAGCCACGGCUAACUACGUG
Molecule: ribosomal RNA, 497 nt
Filed under: uncultured bacterium
Lineage: Bacteria
Description: partial 16S ribosomal RNA
Rfam family: Bacterial small subunit ribosomal RNA
Source: RNAcentral